UAAUGCAUAGGAAUCUGCCCGGUAGUGGGGGAUAACCUGGGGAAACCCAGGCUAAUACCGCAUACGUCCUACGGGAGAAAGGGGGCUCCGGCUCCCGCUAUCGGAUGAGCCUAUGUCGGAUUAGCUAGUUGGUGAGGUAACGGCUCACCAAGGCCACGAUCCGUAGCUGGUCUGAGAGGAUGAUCAGCCACAUCGGGACUGAGACACGGCCCGAACUCCUACGGGAGGCAGCAGUGGGGAAUAUUGGACAAUGGGGGGAACCCUGAUCCAGCCAUGCCGCGUGUGUGAAGAAGGCCCUCGGGUUGUAAAGCACUUUCAGCGAGGAAGAACGCCUAGCGGUUAAUACCCGCUAGGAAAGACAUCACUCGCAGAAGAAGCACCGGCUAACUCCGUGCCAGCAGCCGCGGUAAUACGGAGGGUGCAAGCGUUAAUCGGAAUUACUGGGCGUAAAGCGCGCGUAGGUGGCUUGAUAAGCCGGUUGUGAAAGCCCCGGGCUCAACCUGGGAACGGCAUCCGGAACUGUCAAGCUAGAGUGCAGGAGAGGAAGGUAGAAUUCCCGGUGUAGCGGUGAAAUGCGUAUAGAUCGGGAGGAAUACCAGUGGCGAAGGCGGCCUUCUGGACUGACACUGACACUGA
RNAcentral lists this ribosomal RNA (636 nucleotides) under Vreelandella aquamarina. Its description in RNAcentral is "bacterial SSU rRNA". It matches the Rfam family "Bacterial small subunit ribosomal RNA", at positions 111 to 749 of the family's 1533-position model. The record is from RNAcentral. Lineage: Bacteria; Pseudomonadati; Pseudomonadota; Gammaproteobacteria; Oceanospirillales; Halomonadaceae.